UGUGCCAGCCGCCGCGGUAAUUCCAGCUCCAAUAGCGUAUAUUAAAGUUGUUGCAGUUAAAACGUCCGUAGUCAAACUUUAGUCUUACUGGCGUAGUGGCCUGGUCUUCAUUGACCAAGCUCAUUGCUGCCGGAGACUCCAUGUUCAUUAGGGGAAAAUCUCUAGGGGUUUUUUUCUUAUUUGAACAAUUACCAUGAGCAAAUCAGAGUGUUUAAAGCAGGCUUUUAAGCUUGAAUGUGUUAGCAUGGAAUAAUGAAAUAUGACUUUAGUCCUAUUUUCGUUGGUUUAGGUACUUCAGUAAUGAUGAAUAGAAACGGUUAGGGGCAUUUGUAUUUGGUCGCUAGAGGUGAAAUUCUUGGAUUGACCGAAGACAAACUACUGCGAAAGCAUUUGACCCGGGACGUUCUCAUUGAUCAAGGUCUAAAGUUAAGGGAUCGAAGACGAUUAGAUACCGUCGUAGUCUUAACCACAAACUAUGCCGACUAGAGAUUGGGCGUGUUUAUUAUGACUCGCUCAGCAUCUUAGCGAAAGUAAAGUUUUUGGGUUCUGGGGGGAGUAUGGGACGCAAGGCUGAAACUUAAAGGAAUUGACGGAAGGGCACCACCAGGAGUGGAGCCUGCGGCUUAAUUUGACUCAACACGGGGAAACUCACCAGGUCCAGACAUAGUAAGGAUUGACAGAUUGAAAGCUCUUUCUAGAUUCUAUGGGUGGUGGUGCAUGGCCGUUCUUAGUUCGUGGAGUGAUUUGUCUGGUUAAUUCCGAUAACGAACGAGACCUUAUUCUGCUAAUUAGACAGGCCAACUCU
This 805-nucleotide ribosomal RNA is filed under the name uncultured fungus. Its description in RNAcentral is "SSU rRNA". It matches the Rfam family "Eukaryotic small subunit ribosomal RNA", at positions 563 to 1371 of the family's 1831-position model. The record is from RNAcentral. Lineage: Eukaryota; Fungi.